RNAcentral lists this ribosomal RNA (764 nucleotides) under uncultured Streptococcus sp. Its description in RNAcentral is "bacterial SSU rRNA". It matches the Rfam family "Bacterial small subunit ribosomal RNA", at positions 28 to 776 of the family's 1533-position model. Lineage: Bacteria; Bacillati; Bacillota; Bacilli; Lactobacillales; Streptococcaceae. The record is from RNAcentral.
GACGAACGCUGGCGGCGUGCCUAAUACAUGCAAGUAGAACGCUGAAGAGAGGAGCUUGCUCUUCUGGAUGAGUUGCGAACGGGUGAGUAACGCGUAGGUAACCUGCCUGGUAGCGGGGGAUAACUAUUGGAAACGAUAGCUAAUACCGCAUAAUAGUUUAUGACUCAUGUUAUAAACUUGAAAGAUACAACUGUAUCACUACCAGAUGGACCUGCGUUGUAUUAGCUAGUAGGUAGGGUAACGGCCUACCUAGGCGACGAUACAUAGCCGACCUGAGAGGGUGAUCGGCCACACUGGGACUGAGACACGGCCCAGACUCCUACGGGAGGCAGCAGUAGGGAAUCUUCGGCAAUGGGGGGAACCCUGACCGAGCAACGCCGCGUGAGUGAAGAAGGUUUUCGGAUCGUAAAGCUCUGUUGUUAAGGAAGAACGGGAGUAGGAGUGGAAAGCCUACUUUGUGACGGUACUUAACCAGAAAGGGACGGCUAACUACGUGCCAGCAGCCGCGGUAAUACGUAGGUCCCGAGCGUUAUCCGGAUUUAUUGGGCGUAAAGCGAGCGCAGGCGGUUAGAUAAGUCUGGAGUAAAAGGCUAUGGCUCAACCAUAGUGUGCUCUGGAAACUGUUUAACUUGAGUGCAGAAGGGGAGAGUGGAAUUCCAUGUGUAGCGGUGAAAUGCGUAGAUAUAUAGAGGAACACCGGUGGCGAAAGCGGCUCUCUGGUCUGUAACUGACGCUGAGGCUCGAAAGCGUGGGGAGCGAACAGG